CCCCCAGCCGAAUCAGCAGCAUCCUCAUUGCAAUAGUAGAAACCACCAUUAUUCAAAGCAGUCAAUGAACAUGAAGCCACCAGAUAAGGCAUUUUGCGGAAGAAUCGAGCUAGACUGCUAGCUAAAGCAGCAUUGCCAAUACCAUGAUCACUAUCGCCGCCAUCAUCACUGUCUUCAUCAUGGUGGCAGAAUUCUUCAGCACGGUGCUUGAGAGUCUCGAACAUAAGCUCAGGCUCGUGCUGCAUAACCCGGAG
Molecule: unclassified non-coding RNA, 254 nt
Filed under: Hevea brasiliensis (rubber tree)
Lineage: Eukaryota; Viridiplantae; Streptophyta; Magnoliopsida; Malpighiales; Euphorbiaceae
Source: RNAcentral